CCCUUAGAUGUUCUGGGCUGCACGCGCGCUACACUGAAGCUAUCAACACGUUUUCCCUCCCUGAGAAGGGCGGGUAACCUUCUGAAUCAGCUUCGUGGUAGGGAUCGGGGCUUGCAAUUGUUCCCCGGGAACCAGGAAUUCCUAGUAGACGCGAGUCAUAAGCUCGCAUCGAUUAAGUCCCUGCCCUUUGUACACACCGCCCGUCGCUACUACCGAUUGAACGUUUUAGUGAGGCAUUUGGACCGACGCAUCUCAGUUUAACCGCUGGUUUGUGUUGGAAAGACUUCCAAACUUGAGCGUUUAGAGGAAGUAAAAGUCGUAACA
RNAcentral lists this ribosomal RNA (324 nucleotides) under uncultured eukaryote. RNAcentral describes it as "partial 18S ribosomal RNA". It matches the Rfam family "Eukaryotic small subunit ribosomal RNA", at positions 1470 to 1796 of the family's 1831-position model. The record is from RNAcentral.